AGGGAGAUGCUCUGAGAGCUGGGCUGUCCGGUGAGCGUCCACCAGGGCUGAAUUUAAGGAUCUCCUUGCACAGGUUUUUCUAAAACUAAACAUGAAGCUUGCAGUCUUCCAAGGGAUUGUGGUUGAGGAAAAGCAGGUGGUGGUGGUGGUUUUUGUGUGUUUUUUUUUAGAUCAAUUCUGAAUUAAAAAGUCUAAGAUUUCCUAGAGUAAUUUGGAAGUUUCUGCUUAGCAGGUUAUUGCGAAGGAUUUAGGACACAGGUGAUGUCAGUCCAUUCUCCUGGUGUACAGUAAGCUGUAAUUGCUGUGAUGUUAAGUAUUUAUUUAAAAAUAUAUAUCAAAAUUUGGUGUGUUCUGGAGAGUUUUACUUGUUUUGACUUCCAUCGUGUUAUCGUGGGGUAGAUAGAUGUUCACUAGAUUCCUGUAAAUAAAAUAAGGGUAAAGGGGGUGGCGGGGGUGGGAAAUCAAGGUGUCUUUUCUUCCAAGUCAUCCGUUAUCAACAGGGGAACAAACGAAAUAGUCUAUGACAGAUGUAAUGUUGAACUCUGUCAUAAGCUGCCUGAUUGUUUGUCAGCAUAGCUUCAGUUUGCUGUAGAAAAUGGUUGAACAAUUCCGUGUGUCUGUGGCAUUUAAGACACUGGCACGUUAAUUCUGUGUGCUGCUAGGAGCAAAUAUUGCCUGCAGCAGAGCAAAAAGUCUCAUGGCUUGCCCUCUGCAGAGCUGUCAGAGUGCCUAGAGGAAGGAAGGCUCUUGGUUUUCGUCCAAGCAAGCUCCAACUUAGCAGGAGGGAAGUAAUGUUUAACAAGUGGGCUGAGCGAGCUGCCUGCUUUUAUCUAAGGCAACAAACAAACAAGCCUGGUUUCACGGGAAGGUUCUCCCCGGAUGGUCUGAUCAGGGCUCCGUCUUUUGUGGCAACGGUAGUUGUGUGUUGUGGCUUAGCACCGCAGCCAGCAGAUGCAGGGAUGCUUAGAGCCAGUUCCGACAGGCUUGGCAGUGCUAGCGCACUGACUGUUCAGGUCUCAGGUUGGAGGUAAAAGACGGGGUUUUGCACGGCGUGGAACCCCGCAGAAUAUCUGGUAGGUAUGGCGUUUUAAGGAGCUUGAGCACGGGGUAGUUUUGUGUCCUGUAUCGAGUCUGGUCGUGUUGAUCCUGAGCAAAUAAACGGACCUGCAGAGCUGUCCAGAAUGGCUGCGUAAUACCUGCAGGCUCCACGAGGCCUCGUUAGCUUGCGUAAAGCACCACCCCGAGCAGAUGUGAGCAAACUUGGAUUUGUGUCAUGUGAAGAAGUUUUAAGCUUUGCGACAACCUAAAACGCUGCAAGGGGUAUGCAAAAUUUGGGAGUGGGGCUCUCCAUCUGUUGGUGACCACACUUCCUUAAAACUGACUGAGUGAUGUGCUGCAGAAUAACGGAGUUUGUGUUGGUGAAACUUGUUGAUGAGAGAUACGGAUAGUGUGACAGUGAGCUUCACAGUGCAGCGAGAUAAAAACGAUAAAUGAAAAAGCUGAAGCCUAGGUGGCAAGGUUGGUUUUGUCUUCUCGUGCUAAACUGGGUUGAUAACGUUGCAUUUUUCUGUAAAUAUGAAUAGGGAAGAGUUCACGGGAGAAAGAAAACAUGAGAAUUAUUAUGCAGGGUGGAUGUUACAGUUUGAAGAUGAUGUCUGUCCAGAAACAGAGUUGUGAUGUGUAUGAGGAGAGGCAGGAAAGUGUUCAUUCAGGUUCCCCAAGGAACAUGUAAUAUAUAACAUAGAUUGGACAGAGGCUUUUAUUUCCUACCUGCUUGUUCUCUUUUCCAAAAACAGGCUAGCUUCCCUGAAACGUUUGGCUUUAGUUACUGGCUUAAACGCAACUCAGUUGGCUCUGACAUCCUUGCCAAGUGUAAAUGAUGAGAUUAAAAAAAAAACAGUGCUGAAGGGGAACCCCAGGAGUGGUUAGCUUCAUGUGCACGCUUGAAGCAUUGCUGAAAUGUUCAUGAUGCUUACGUAUCCCAGACAGGUGAGAUUCAGACUUCAAAGAUGAAGAAGGAACCUGUGUCUUUUAUCUCAUAUUUUCACCAACUAAAAUAUACUUUUCAGAGAAGGAAUAGAAUGUUUAAAAGCACGUCAUAGUGAAAAUUAGAACAUUUUUGACCAGAUUUGGGUUGUUUUCUAAAGUAAAUGUCAAUGACUCGAAGAUACUUCCACGUUAAUAGGGAAUAGCUGUUCAUUUCCACGAAGUAGCUCAUACGUGCCCUUUUACCCCUCACUGUUAGAACAGUUUAGGUGUGAAAAGGAAAGGUGGAAUAGAGGCUCGCAGGGCAGCAAAUACAAGAGACAGUGUGAAGCUGUCUGCUCGGUGUGAAACUCGGGUCCUCUUUGUGUUGCACUGUUUUCCUGACUUGCUUUCUGGUGUAGUCAUUAUUAUUCACUGCUUGUGCUGCAGAUCCCCACUCAGUACACGUGGGAAAAAUACAGUCUCCUAGGUCUGAUUUAACAAGGAGUCACUGGUAUAACUCAGGGUUUAGCAGGAAGCAAACAGAUUUCUGUCUGGUGUUUUUUCAUUCAUUCCCUGGCCAAACUUUACUUGGUUUUUGAAAUAAGCUAUUCUGAGCCAGUGUUUACACCUGCCUUGAAUUGUCUUGAUUUGUUGUGGCUCCCGUUUGGUGUUUUAAGUGGAUGGCUGGUGUGAAAAGACACCUGAGUAUUUUGACCUUAAUGCUUUUGUACUCAAGAACGUACGCCUGUGUCUGAUCUUGUAUGAAUACUAACUUGUCUGCAUCUGAAUGAUUCAUGUCGUUGGAAAUAAAACAUCUAGUGGAGUGAGUA
This is a long non-coding RNA of Oxyura jamaicensis (ruddy duck), 2798 nucleotides long. RefSeq lists it as uncharacterized. The record is from RefSeq and is a predicted model, not a curated record. Lineage: Eukaryota; Metazoa; Chordata; Aves; Anseriformes; Anatidae. The transcript is spliced from 2 exons.